Molecule: transfer RNA, 77 nt
Filed under: Borreliella burgdorferi 156a
Lineage: Bacteria; Pseudomonadati; Spirochaetota; Spirochaetia; Spirochaetales; Borreliaceae
Also listed under: 1 other name
Description: tRNA-Gln
Rfam family: tRNA
About the family: Transfer RNA (tRNA) molecules are approximately 80 nucleotides in length. Their secondary structure includes four short double-helical elements and three loops (D, anti-codon, and T loops).
Source: RNAcentral
UUGGGACGUCGACAAGUGGUAAGUCAACUGGUUUUGGUCCAGUCAUUCGAGGGUUCGAAUCCUUCCGUCCCAGUAUU